Molecule: long non-coding RNA, 1229 nt
Organism: Heterocephalus glaber (naked mole-rat)
Lineage: Eukaryota; Metazoa; Chordata; Mammalia; Rodentia; Bathyergidae
Source: Ensembl
UAUAGAAGCUGGAAAAGGUACAAAACUGAAUCUUCCACUAGAAUCUUAAGGAAGGAACCUGGCUCUGAUGAACACUUCAGUUACAACCCAGUGAGGCCUAAGUGGCAGCUGGGACUCUACUCCUUGAAGCUCAUACGAACUAGGAUUAUGAAACACUCAGUGUCCAAGAUUAUCUUCAGCCUCAAAAUCCAGCAUGCAGCCAGAAGAGAGCAUUUGGAAAUCUCAAGGGAAAAACUUUAAAAAAAUCAUUUCUUUCCACUUUCAUUCACCAGAACUGAAUCUCAUGUCCUUACCCAGAUGUUCUUAAGUAUCCUGGAAGAUGAAGUUCCUUACUGAAUGGCUGCUUCUAAGGAACCAUUGUACAACUCAGGAAGACAGCACAGAGCCAGUAUAUUUCUUCAUAAUAGCCAAAAAAUGGAAAUAACCAAAUAACCAUUUGAUGAAUGGAUUAAAAAUAUAUAAUAUCCACAGGAGAUAUUAUUCAGCCAUGAAAACAGAAUGGUGUACUUUUAAUGCUAUUCUGGUGGAAAAAAGAUAACAUGCAAGUAGAAGAGGACUAUUUGGAAGGGACAAAAAGAAGAGGGAGAGAGGUAAAUCUUUUUAUGGUGCACUAUUUUGCAGUGAAAUUGGCAAGUGGUUAACAGAAAGAAAAGAAAAAAAGUAAGAAGAAAGAAAAGGAAUGGGCCUGUUUAAUUUUCAAAUUUAAUAAAAGUCCAUGGGUGAUUGAGAGUUGGCAGAUAUAAUGUUUCCAGUCAAGCCCUGCCAUCUAAAGAGAAGUAUUUCAUAUCUGCACCAUGUCCAAGUCACAAGCAAACACUGUCCAGGGAUGCGGCAUGGAAUUCAUCUCUUUCCAGGAUUUAAAAAGAACAUAAAUCCCUGGUGUUUUGAAUGACUAGAUUUGUAUUGAAUUUUUUCUUCCUUUUUCUUUCUGGAGGAAAGUCAGUCAACCCAGACUACUUCCUUAGCUUCCAUUCUUGGGUAGAUUAUAAUUCAAAACAGAAAUAUUCAAUAAAGGAAUUGUCUGUGAUCUCAGAAUGUAUUUAUUGUAUGAUUCAAUAUAGAAAGCAUAAGAAAAUUAGAACAAAGGGAAAUUUAAACAUAGAAAUCAGAAACGUAUUAUGAUGAAUAAUAAUUACCUUUUUGUUUCCUGGAAAUGCUUUAAACUACAACACUUCUACCAAGUAAUUGUUAACCAUCGUAUUUAACCUAAUAAAGUUCACUCUAGCAAC